CCGGAAUAAGUAGCGAAAGCAUGGUGAGAAUCCAUGCCAUCGAAAGUCUAAGGUUUCCUGGGGAAGGUUCGUCCGCCCAGGGUAAGUCGGGACCUAAGGUGAGGCCGAAAGGCGUAGCCGAUGGACAGCAGGUUGAGAUUCCUGCACCACCGAAAUACUUAAAAGAUGUAAGGGACACAGGAGUGGAAGGAAAGCGAGGAAGAGGAAAGACUCGUAUCGAAAGAUAUAGUGAAAAUAGAAAGUAACGAAUUUCCAAGAAGCACACUGGCGAGAAAAGCUUGCAGAUAUUGUAUAGAGGUGCCCGUACCGCAAACCGACACAGGUAGAUGAGGAGAGGAUCCUAAGAUGAGCGAGAGAAGCAUUGUUAAGGAACUCGGCAAAAUGACCCCGUAACUUAGGGAGAAGGGGUACUGGGAUAAAACCCAGUCGCAGAGAAUAGUCCCAAGCAACUGUUUAACAAAAACACAGGUUUCUGCUAAAUCGAAAGAUGAAGUAUAGGAGCUGACACCUGCCCAGUGCUGGAAGGUUAAGGGGAAAUGUCAGGAGUAAUCCGAAGCAUAGAACCAAAGCCCCAGUGAACGGCGGCCGUAACUAUAACGGUCCUAAGGUAGCGAAAUUCCUUGUCAGGUAAGUUCUGACCCGCACGAAAGGUGUAAUGAUUUGGGCACUGUCUCGGCAGCAGACUCGGUGAAAUCUUAGUACCUGUGAAGAUGCAGGUUACCCGCAACUAGACGGAAAGACCCCAUGGAGCUUUACUGUAGUCUGCUAUUGAGUUUCGGUUAAGUAUGCACAGGAUAGGUGGGAGACGAUGAGACUGGUCUUUCGGGAUCAGAGGAGUCACUGUUGGGAUACCACUCUUACUUAAUUGAAAUUCUAACUCUAAGCCGUGAUCCGGCUAGAGGACCGUGGCAGAUGGGCAGUUUGACUGGGGCGGUCGCCUCCCAAAGAGUAACGGAGGCGCACAAAGGUACUCUCAGAAUGGUUGGAAAUCAUUCAACGAGCGCAAACGCAGAAGAGUGCUUGACUGCGAGACAAACAAGUCGAGCAGGGACGAAAGUCGGUGUUAGUGAUCCGGCGGUGCAGAAUGGAAUGGCCGUCGCUUAACGGAUAAAAGCUACCCUGGGGAUAACAGGCUGAUCUCGCCCAAGAGUUCACAUCGACGGCGAGGUUUGGCACCUCGAUGUCGGCUCAUCGCAUCCUGGAGCUGAAGUCGGUUCCAAGGGUUGGGCUGUCCGCCCAUUAAAGCGGUACGCGAGCUGGGUUCAGAACGUCGUGAGACAGUUCGGUCCCUAUCUGUUGUGGGCGUAGGAAAUUUGAGGAGAGCUGUCCUUA
RNAcentral lists this ribosomal RNA (1332 nucleotides) under Ruminococcus sp. A254.MGS-254. RNAcentral describes it as "bacterial LSU rRNA". It matches the Rfam family "Bacterial large subunit ribosomal RNA", at positions 1297 to 2680 of the family's 2925-position model. The record is from RNAcentral. Lineage: Bacteria; Bacillati; Bacillota; Clostridia; Eubacteriales; Oscillospiraceae.